UGGCGGACGGGUGAGUAAUGUCUGGGAAACUGCCCGGUGGAGGGGGAUAACUACUGGAAACGGUAGCUAAUACCGCAUAACGUCGCAAGACCAAAGAGGGGGACCUUCGGGCCUCUUGCCACCGGAUGUGCCCAGAUGGGAUUAGCUUGUUGGUGAGGUAACGGCUCACCAAGGCGACGAUCCCUAGCUGGUCUGAGAGGAUGACCAGCCACACUGGAACUGAGACACGGUCCAGACUCCUACGGGAGGCAGCAG
This 255-nucleotide ribosomal RNA is filed under the name uncultured bacterium. Its description in RNAcentral is "partial 16S ribosomal RNA". It matches the Rfam family "Bacterial small subunit ribosomal RNA", at positions 96 to 354 of the family's 1533-position model. The record is from RNAcentral.